This 699-nucleotide long non-coding RNA is filed under the name Phaseolus vulgaris (common bean). RNAcentral describes it as "long non-coding RNA (PVUL_LNC002974)". The record is from RNAcentral. Lineage: Eukaryota; Viridiplantae; Streptophyta; Magnoliopsida; Fabales; Fabaceae.
AAUAAUAAAUAAAAUAAUAUUAAUAAUAUAUGUGGUGGAAGCGAAAAGAAGGACGGCAGUACAUACAUGAAGAUACUUUGGGAUGGUGGCGUAUGCACAAGCGUGUCUCCCGCCAGGGAUCCAAAGCACCACGUGUCACGGUUUCAGUGUACCCCAUCUCCACCGUCUGAUUCAUCUGACGGAUUUUAACACAUUCGCUUCUUCUCGUUUAUUCCUCUGAUUCUGAUCCUGAUCCAUCUCACGCGGCGAGAGGCGGAGCGUGCCGACAAAUGUCCCCUGUAAUAAUCGUCUCCAUCCAACGCCGUUACCUUGGACAACCGCUCCGUUAGCACGGCACACAGAGAUGCAAACGGCAUCAGGGAAAACGCCGCCUCUGCGGUAGUUGUUGGUGUCAGGUCCACGUGUCAUCCUUUGGAGGCAGCAACGUGGCCCCGUUGGGCCCUCCUUUUGCAAUUAUUAAUGUUGACGGUGGGCCCCGCCACCACGCUCUCUAUCGCGGCUGGGGCGGCGCGGCGCUUUAUGGAGCAUACCAUGAUGAUGCGCUAGUGCAUGAAUGAACACAGUGCAGUCAACGAACAUCGUUGACCGCGCCAAAUGUUUUAGAGGUGCUACCACCCACGUGUGGGGAGCGUUCGGAUACGCGCUCCACUUCUUUCCUUCACCACUUUUUUUUCCUACACGUGUAACCGCUUCAUUUUU